GGACGAACGCUGGCGGCGUGUUUAACCCAUGCAAGUUGAACGAGAAUUUUUUAACAGAUUCUUCGGAAGAAGUUAAGAAAGAAAGUAGCGAACGGGUGAGUAACGCGUGAAUAACCAACCCUCACAGGGGGACAACAGCUGGAAACGGCUGCUAAUACCGCAUAAGACCACGGUGACACAUGUUACAGUGGUAAAAACUGAGGUGUGGAGACGGGUUCGCGUUCCAUUAGCUAGUAGGUAGGGUAACGGCCUACCUAGGCAACGAUGGAUAGCCGAGCUGAGAGGCUGAUCGGCCACACUGGAACUGAGACACGGUCCAGACUCCUACGGAGCAGCAGGGAAAUGUACAAUGGGGGAAACCUGAUACAGC
RNAcentral lists this ribosomal RNA (370 nucleotides) under uncultured bacterium. Its description in RNAcentral is "bacterial SSU rRNA". It matches the Rfam family "Bacterial small subunit ribosomal RNA", at positions 27 to 392 of the family's 1533-position model. The record is from RNAcentral.